This 444-nucleotide ribosomal RNA is filed under the name uncultured bacterium. Its description in RNAcentral is "SSU rRNA". It matches the Rfam family "Bacterial small subunit ribosomal RNA", at positions 26 to 518 of the family's 1533-position model. The record is from RNAcentral.
AGAACGAACGCUGGCGGCAGGCUUAACACAUGCAAGUCGAGCGCUGUAGCAAUACAGAGCGGCAGACGGGUGAGUAACGCGUGGGAACAUACCCUCCGGUUCGGAAUAACUCAGGGAAACUUGAGCUAAUACCGAAUACGGUCGAGAGGCGAAAGAUUUAUCGCCGGAGGAUUGGCCCGCGUUCGAUUAGCUAGUUGGUGAGGUAACGGCUCACCAAGGCGACGAUCGAUAGCUGGUCUGAGAGGAUGAUCAGCCACAUUGGGACUGAGACACGGCCCAAACUCCUACGGGAGGCAGCAGUGGGGAAUAUUGGACAAUGGGCGCAAGCCUGAUCCAGCCAUGCCGCGUGGAUGAUGAAGGCCUUAGGGUUGUAAAGUCCUUUUAACGGGGAAGAUAAUGACGGUACCGUAGAAUAAGCCCGGCUAACUUCGCGCCAGCAGCCGC